This is a long non-coding RNA of Carassius auratus (goldfish), 1295 nucleotides long. Lineage: Eukaryota; Metazoa; Chordata; Actinopteri; Cypriniformes; Cyprinidae. The record is from Ensembl.
UCUGUCAUCUGGCGAAUUCAGCGCGUUUCGGCCGAUGCGGAGGCGAUUUCGAUGAAUCCCUGCUGCACUACAGUAUGUGCAGGAGGCCUAACGUUACAACUUAACAGUGGGUUGCAUGUUUAGGGGCCUCAAACAGGGAGGAGACCAUGAACCUCAACGAGAAGAAGCCCAACAAGUGGUGGACUGAACCGGACACGUUUGCCAUGCUGGCCCUCAUAGAGCAGAUGGGUCUGGUCCACGAGCUGGAUAAGAAGCGUCAGCGCAACGAAUCCCUUUUCCGACGCCUCAGGCUGAGUCUGGCAAAGCGGGGAAUCCACUUCACCGUCACCCAGAUCCGAAACCGCUGGAAGAGCCUCAAACACAAGUACCGUAAGAUCAAACUGGCCAGCUACCGAAGUCCAGCCGCUCGCCUCUCUGCCGUCGAGUCUUUCCGCUACUUCCAUAUGCUGGAUCACAUGUUGGUGCGCAGACCGAAGGCGGGAGGCAGGGAGGACGACCUCGCAGAUGCUCACGCCCUGCUAGGACGGUCACUCGUGGACCUGGAGGACCCUGCAGACAGUCCUUGGCUUGAAGGCCUACUCCCUAAAUCUGAGCCUGAGAGCAUGUCUUCUAAACUUGAACCUGAUGUUGACGACAGUCUGAAUCCAGAUGACGUGGCUGGUCCUGAGCCGCCGAGCUGGCCUGUAGGACCAGAUGAAGUUAUGACCCUGGGCUUGUCAGGAGAAUACCUCUAUGCAGUGAAGACCGAGCCACCGUCCCUAUGCACUCCCAACAGCACAGAAAGUACAAGAGACGCCAUUGACUGCAGCCACAGUGAUUUCCCAGGAACGUCUGAAGAGACCAGCAGCCUCAUCCUCCAGCAGCUCACCAUCCUGAACCACCGGCUUGGAGAACAGCUGGCCGAGCAGAGAGCCUUCCACUGCAGCAUGCUGGGAAUGAUGGAUCGCCAGAUCCAGGUCUUGGAGCAGCUCUCCAAUUUCACCAGGAACCACCAAUCCAAGUUUGAGACCCCAGACGUGGACUCUUCAGCCAGUCCAAGUGUGCACGAAGCUCAAACGCAGACUUUUGAUCAACAUCCCAUGUUCCUCAUGCCCAAAAGCGAACCAGCAGCUGCUCCUUGGAAGGUCUCUCUCUUGGAAGUCCACAAGAGGUCACCCUCUGAGUCGGGCAGUGACACUGAGACUCCUCAAGCCCUGGAAGGGUGCGAAGCAAACACCUCUAGCCCACCUUCUUUGGGGAUUUCGCCCUCAACCAAGAACGCUGUUGUACAGAAUGGAUUGUGUAAGCACGAUUGA